AACCCUAAUUUGAUGGUGUCUACAAAUACAGGACUUUAAUUAAAAGGACGCAUUACUAAUUAAAUAAUCAGAACGUUCUUACAUUUAUAAGUUCAUAUAAAUAAUUAUGUCUCUUUGUACCAAAAGUGGAAAUAGUUCAUAACCACUUUCUAGAUUACAUCAACAAAUUCAUAAAACAGGCAAAAACAAACACAAAUUCCAAAUUCUUAAAGCACAUGCAACCAAAUACUCAUUAUUUUCAAACAUUUUCCAACCAAAUACUCAUUAGUUUCAAAUAGUGUCCAACCAAAUACUCAAUAUUUUAAAGAUAAGAUAUAUGAUUGCAAAUUGCACCAAAACUUAAGAGUGCAAACUGUAAGUGACUCUAUUUUUCUGGUUAAAAAACUGGUAAAUUUAAAGUGUCAUUCUGGAAGUGUAUAAAUGUUUUAUGGGUAAUUAGAACCCUAAUUAUUGAAAACAAUGACAUAGUGAGACAAUUCCAAUAUGCAUGAGCAAGUACUGAACCUAGCUGAUAGCUCGAAUACUAGUUUAUACGUACUUACUAUUUGAUGAGUAUCAAUAUAUGGCAUGCUCAACAUUGGUAGUUAGUGAGACUAUCAUGUCAUACUAAAACUUUUAAGUUGUUACAAAGAUUAGUUAGUCUAUUAGAAGUGUAAGAAUGAAGUUUUAGAUAUAUGUGUGUAUAAAAGCUCUGAAAUUGUAAGGAUCCAAUUCAUUAAGUCUGAAAUACAAUUCAUACAAUUUACUCUCUCUCUCUC
Molecule: long non-coding RNA, 758 nt
Filed under: Malus domestica (apple)
Lineage: Eukaryota; Viridiplantae; Streptophyta; Magnoliopsida; Rosales; Rosaceae
Description: long non-coding RNA (MDOM_LNC017582)
Source: RNAcentral